GAUGAACGCUAGCGAUAGGCUUAACACAUGCAAGUCGAGGGGCAGCAUGGUCUUAGCUUGCUCAGACUGAUGGCGACCGGCGCACGGGUGCGUAACGCGUAUGCAACUUGCCUCACAGAGGGGGAUAACCCGUCGAAAGACGGACUAAUACCGCGUACACCCCCUCUUGGGCAUCCAAGGUAGAGGAACUGAAAUUCGCUGUGAGAUAGGCAUGCGUCGGAUUAGCUAGUUGGGGGGGUAACGGCUCACCAAGGCGACGAUGCGUAGGGGGACUGAGAGGAUGAGCAGCCACACUGGAACGGAGACACGGUACAGACGCGUACGGGAGGCAGCAGUGGGGAAUAUUGGAAAAUGGGCGCAAGGCUGAUCCAGCAAUACCGAGUGGGUGAAGAAGGCCGUCGGGUUGUAAAGCCCUUGUGUGGGGAAAGAAAAGCAGCAGGUUAAUACCCCGCUGUUCUGACGGUACCAAAAGAAUAAGCACCGGAUAACUUCGUG
This 495-nucleotide ribosomal RNA is filed under the name uncultured bacterium. RNAcentral describes it as "partial 16S ribosomal RNA". It matches the Rfam family "Bacterial small subunit ribosomal RNA", at positions 28 to 507 of the family's 1533-position model. The record is from RNAcentral.